Molecule: unclassified non-coding RNA, 148 nt
Organism: Pongo abelii (Sumatran orangutan)
Lineage: Eukaryota; Metazoa; Chordata; Mammalia; Primates; Hominidae
Rfam family: Metazoan signal recognition particle RNA
About the family: The signal recognition particle (SRP) is a universally conserved ribonucleoprotein. It is involved in the co-translational targeting of proteins to membranes. The eukaryotic SRP consists of a 300-nucleotide 7S RNA and six proteins: SRPs 72, 68, 54, 19, 14, and 9.
Source: Ensembl
GCUGGGCGUGGUGGUGCAUGCCUGUAAUCCCAGCUACUUGGGAGGCUGAGGCAGGAGAAUCACUUGAACCCAGGAGGCAGAGGCUGCAGUGAGCCGAGAUGGCGCCACUGCACUCAAGCCUGGGCAACAGAGUGAGAUUCUGUCUCAA